GGCCGUAGCUCAGUGGUAGAGCACUUGCUUGGCCUGCAUGAGACCCUGGGUUCAGUCCCCAGCACUGCCA
This 70-nucleotide transfer RNA is filed under the name Heterocephalus glaber (naked mole-rat). It matches the Rfam family "tRNA". Rfam says of the family: Transfer RNA (tRNA) molecules are approximately 80 nucleotides in length. Their secondary structure includes four short double-helical elements and three loops (D, anti-codon, and T loops). Further hydrogen bonds mediate the characteristic L-shaped molecular structure. tRNAs have two regions of fundamental functional importance: the anti-codon, which is responsible for specific mRNA codon recognition, and the 3' end, to which the tRNAs corresponding amino acid is attached (by aminoacyl-tRNA synthetases). tRNAs cope with the degeneracy of the genetic code in two manners: having more than one tRNA (with a specific anti-codon) for a particular amino acid; and 'wobble' base-pairing, i.e. permitting non-standard base-pairing at the 3rd anti-codon position. Lineage: Eukaryota; Metazoa; Chordata; Mammalia; Rodentia; Bathyergidae. The record is from Rfam by way of RNAcentral.